GACGAACGCUGGCGGCGUGCUUAACACAUGCAAGUCGAACGGAAAGGCCCUGCUUUUGUAGGGUCCUCGAGUGCCGAACAGGGGUGUGUCACGUGAGUAACCUGCCCUUUACAUUGGGAUAACUUCAGGAAACUGGGGUGAUUACCGCGUAUGAGCUCCUGCUGCAUGAUGGUGGUGGUAAAGUUUCGCCGGUUUAGCAUGGACUCACGGCUUAUCGUCGUGUUGGUGGGGUAGUGGCUUACCAAGUCUCUGACGGGUAGCCGGCCUGAGACGGUGACCGGCCACAUAGGGAUUGAGAUACGGGCCAGACUGAAACGGGAGGCAGGAGUGGAAGAUAUAGCAAAAUGGGCGGAAGCCGGAAGCAGCGACGCCGCGUGCGGAAUGACUGCCUUCGGGGUGUAACCCGCUUUAGCCUGUGACGCAGAGUGAGUGACGGUAAUGGGUAAAGAAGCAACGGCUAACUACGUG
Molecule: ribosomal RNA, 468 nt
Filed under: uncultured bacterium
Lineage: Bacteria
Description: partial 16S ribosomal RNA
Rfam family: Bacterial small subunit ribosomal RNA
Source: RNAcentral